CAAAAUGGUCAAAAUAAAGAAACGUCAAAAUUGAAAAAUAACACAAAAAAUGUAAAAAAUGGAAGAUUUGCAUCUCUCGGAACCGUUUUUGAGAUAUUUUUCGGAUGUAUUCUUAUGCUGCGAUGAAGAUCGAUCAGGAAAAGCCUCGCUACAACGAACUGUAGACCUCAUCAAAUCUGGAAAUGUCCCAGAAGAAGUUAUUGCCCAGAUUUCAGAAAUAUGCUGGUCACCAGGUACAACUUGUCUAAGCAAAAAGCAGUUCUUUUCCGCCCUUAAACUAGUGGCUCUUUACCAAGCAAACUUACCCAUUCGCAGUGACCUGAUCAUGAGUAAGGUAGACCUGCCGCUACCCAAAUUUACAUGGGGUCCCCUAGAUGCUGAAUCUCCUGUUCCUGAUCUUAUUGAGUUGAGAAAUGAGCCUGAAUGCAAUACGGAUUCAAUUAGUACGGACUCUGAAGCUGAUAGUGAGACUGUAAGAUGUUCCCCGGACAUGUCAAGUCCUGCCUCUGAUAGCCCAACUCCAACAAACAGUGUUCAAGAUCGAAAUUGGGCUUGGCAAGGUUUAGUGUCUGAAGAACAGAGGCAACUUUUAGAAGAAGAGUCAUCCGAUAAGCAUAGUAGCGAAGAGGACGCAGAAGUGUCAAAUGAAGUGUGGGUCAUAACGCCCGAACAAAAAGAUUAUUACACGAAACAGUUUCAAAAACUACAAGAAAAUCCUAAGGCUUUACUGUCAGGUUCUGUUGCUCGGACAUUUUUUGAAAGAUCUCAAUUACCAGUGCAAGAAUUAAGGAAAAUUUGGCAAUUGGCUGAUGUUACGAAAGAUGGAGCACUUUCAUUGCCAGAAUUCUAUACUGCUAUGCAUUUGGUGGUUUUACGCAAGCACAAAAUCGCAAUCCCUGACGUACUACCUGCCACUUUGGUACCAAUAAAUAAACCGCCAAGUCCAGAAGUAAACUCUGAACCAGUGGUGACCGUCCAACCCAAAGAAGUGGUCAAAGAAUGGACUAAAUUCGCUGAUAGUCCAACUAGUUCAAACGUUUCCUCGCCAGGUAUUAAACCCGUAAAUUUUGAUUUCCAAAUCGAUCAAAACGAUCCUGACCUCCGUCAUCCUGUUGCGAGGAGAUUGACGCCGGAAGUGGUUUCGCAAAUUGUCGCCGAAGAUGUUCCCGAUGCCAUCGAUCUAAGUAGUCCGAAAAAAGCGCCUGAUGUUAAUAAUCUCCAGGUAAGUCAAGUUUCUUCAUUAUCACAACAAAACAGCGCCAUCCAACGACCACAGCCGAAGAAAGUAAACCCAAGAGGACCCGGGGCUAUACCACCUCCUCCCGAUGAAGGAGGACCUGUCAGCCUUCCGGCUUUUUCUGCACCUGCAAAAAAGGAGAAACCUCCUCCACCACCUCCUCCAAGACCCUUUAAAACUCACGGGAGAAGUUCAUCCCUUGAUUUAAACAGACUAACGAAAGCCAGUGCUCCUCCUCCUGUGGUGCCACCACGUGUCAGUCCAAGCAAUCAUUCACGGAAACUCAUAAUUCAAAAGUCAGAACAGAACAACGGGACUACUUACGCGCACGAUAAUUUUGCAGAUUUCGAUCAAUUCGAACAAUACGAAAACGUACAAGAAAAUUGCAUAUUUCCAGGGGAUGUAUAUGAAGCAGAAAGGAAAAAACUCUUUGACAAACUGUUCAAGGAGAGCACUGAUGAGGCACCAAAGAAACAUGGCGCUUUUGAAGUUUACAGAAAACCUGGCAGUGACAAAACUUCAACCCAAUGCCCAGAUACCUUAGAAGAAGAACAAUGGGAGGAAAUAGAAAAGCUGCAAGUGGAAAACGCCGCACUACUGAGGAUUUGUCAAGAACUGAGCCAAGAAUUAGCGGAUUUAAAGCAAGAAAAGCUUAAAAUGAAAGUUAAAUUAGAGAGGUUGCAAGCUAAAGCACCUAACGGAGGUUAAAUCAUUUUUUUACAAAGAAUUGAGGUAACUUUAUUCAAUUUUAGAAAUAUUGUAGAUUUUUUUUAUUUUGUAAGAGGUCUAGCAGCCGAAGGCUGAAAAUUUUCAUUGUCUUUAUUUAUUGAAAUCGUAAAUUUUCUUUGAUGGGUAGGAUAGGUUAUAUUUGAAAUAUCGUUGUUGAAUGCUAGGUACAUACAUCUAACAGUAGUGGGCUUCAAACGAUUAAAACUAGGCCUUUAUUACCUUUAAUGACCAAAAGUCCACUAUCCCUAAAAACAAAGUGAAAAUCUUUAAAAUUUAUAGAAGAUACAAUCAUGAAAAAAGAAGUUUUUAUUAUAAUUAGCAUUAUUAUUGUUAGGUAGAUUAAAUUUAUUGAAUAAGUUUAAAGAUUGGUGUACAGUUAUAUUAUAUUAUAAGAACAUGGAUAAAAAAUUUAUUAAAAGCAUUGUUAAAAAAUAAAUGUGAUACGUAGGAUAUAGGAGUAAAGAUCGCCCUUUUAAAUUUUUUUGAUUUCCUUUUUAUACAUUGUAUUAUUUAUUUCUUCAUAUUGUGACUACUUAAUUCGAGUUUUAUGACUAUUUUUCAGUAUUUUUUGGUUGAGAAUCUCUAAGUUUUAGCUAUAAAAAUAAAUAUGACUAAUAAUGGACUAAUGGAAUAAUAUUUUAUUGGCAUGUAAUAACAAAGCUUAGGGUCAAAGUGGGCGAAUAUCGAUUGGUUAAGAAAUAAUUUUUGACAAAUAAUAGAAAUCUUCAUUCAAACAACUGUCAAUGUUUCAUUCAAAAAAGACUUUCAUAAGUCUUUUUAUUGUCUAAAUACUAUUAAAAGACUUAAACUUUUAGAGAAGGGGUUGACAGAAAUAUCUACUGGUAAAUUACCAAUAAUUGAUUUUGUACUUUUUGUCCCUGUUCCUGGACACCAUUUUAGAGGUUAAGUCGGUGAAACCCACAAUCGUGUUGAUUUUUAACUUAUAUAUGGCAAAAAAACUCCGCAAGCAGAGCAAGCAAAUAUGAUAUAUAUGAUCAUUUUUGUAGUAUUUACUCAGGACCGUUAGUUACAUUAUUUUCGAGUAAUAUUUACGAAUGAGAAUUUGGGCGGCAAAAAAACUCAAUUCAGUUUGUUCUAACGUUUCCACAUUUGUUAUGUCUUUCUCAAGAGUUCUAUAAUAAUAAUAAUGUAAUAAAUUUAUUUGUCUUCAAAAAUAGUUACAAUUCUAGAAUAAACAAAAGUUCGUGCAAAAAAAAAUAAAUAAACAACCAAACACGAACGAUCAAGUCAUACGAAUAUUCUCUCAAUUUAAAAAAUAAAACGUUUUUUACAGUUUUUAAGUUGUAGGAUAUUUUGCUUUUCCUUUUUCAAUAUUUUUUAAAGUGUUACUAUUUUCCCAUGUGUUAUACCAUCUAUAGAAUUUUGGCAUCAAACAAAAUUCGGACAUCAAACAAAAACUUACAAAUUUUUGUUUAAUUAUAUGCUCAGGAUGCUGAAUGCAGGCUUAUGCUCGCAUGCCAAUAGAUAAAGUGACAUUUUUUAUUUCACUCUCAUUUUUGUAUUUGAAUGGCUCCGCCGAACAACGUUGCAAGUGACAAAAACUUAUUUUUUCAGAAAAUCAAAAAAACACUGAUUGUUCAAUGAAAUUAAUUUCUAAUUUACAAUUUCUUAUUAUAAACGAGGCUUUGUUAUUGAGUGAAAUCACCUAUAAGAGAAAAUAUUAUUAUACUAUCAUAUCUUACUGAGAAAUUGACAUUUUAAAAGUAUUUUUUCGGGUACAACGUUGUAAGCGACGGCGCUUGCAACGUUGUUCUUUGAACAAAACGUAUAAUACUGAAUUAAAUGGGCUGAUUCAAUAAUGUAAGUAGGUAGUUUUCAAAUAUGAUCUUUAAUAAUAAUGAAUACAAAAAACUUAAGUUUUCUUAUUGUUCAACCUUAAUAUUUUCAUAAAAAGGCACAUGUAUUUACACAUAUCCAACAAGUCCUUUUUCUUUGCCGCUUUGAUCGGGAGUCUAUCCUUGUAUAAAGGUGGGAACCGAGAAACUUUUACUGAGGGCAUACUUCUCUGCCCUGGUCCCUUUACUUUUUUUGCUAAUGAGUGCGAAGUCCAUGUUUGAAGGACGUUGUGUGAUUUCCUUCCACGCAAUGUUAUAGGAUCAUCCUUUGUAAUUUGGUACCAUACAUGACUAGUUACACUGAGUUUAUUUUUUUCCAGUGAAUCUAACGUAAUGUCGGUGUUUUUAAAGUCUGCUGUAUCCAGACAGUAAAACGAUUGGGUGGUCCCUUGGCAUUAGGUAUGACUUCCACCCAUUGGUGAGGAACAUACACUUUUUUACCCUUUUUUGCUCGUUCAAUUAGAGCAAAGUCCCUGUUACAGGGUAGAAAACUAUGACCCGUCGUCAUAAACUUUUGCUCAACGGUAGUGAAAUAUUCAUUCAAGAGCCGGUGCUGCAAAACAGGUAUAAUCUGCCAGUUGUUGUUCUGACCUACGCAUCUAUCAGACCAAAGCUUAAGAAUUCUCACUUAGCCUGUCUUCAACUUUGUAAAGUUAAGCUCAACAUAUUUUAAAAUGCAUGAUGCUAUUUCCGCAGCACCUCGCAUGGCAGUGGUCUCAUCCCAGAAAAACAUAUAAGCCAUGUCUCCCCUGGUCAUGUAUAGCCAAAUUGUAGCACGAUAGUUGCCUCUGGUAAAAUACGUUACUAUGCGUGAGGUUUGGGCAAAAUAAAACUUGUUGUAGGUCUACACAAAGCACAACGUUUUCAGAGCUGAAUAUGGCACUCUCUUUAUCUUCAGCAAGCGCCUUGUAAGCAGAGUCAGCCCUCAUAUGAUGAAGUUUGCUUUGAUUUUCAAUAAUUUUUUUUCUCUCUUCAGUAGCAGCUGCAAUGAGCUGAAUGUGCAGCUGAUCACAAUAAGUACAGGUAUCGGACCUAGGCAGAUCAAAUCUUAAGUUGAACUCACUUUGAAAAACAUCACGGUACAUGUGAAGUUUUGCAGUACUGUCGGUGUAUUUAAUCGUAGCCGAUCGAUAGUUCUAGCCUGGACACUUAUCCCCGCUUCCAUCGAUACCUCACAACAGAAGCCGAAAUCAUGCGAGGCGACGACCGCAUCGCGAUGGCAAAAAUUCCGCGCUGGGGCACAUAUUUUGCGUUAAUUCGAAAUAAUAUUUUACUGCAGUUAUUAUUGUAGUUUAUAGUAAGAUUACGCAUUUAAAAUUUUAAACUACCAAACUAUUUUGAUUCUCGCUUUGAGUUUUAAAAAGAAUAAAAAUUCGGUAUUUAAAUUAGGUGGGUAAAUUAACAAUUUUAUUUUUAACUUACAUUUUACAAUCUUAAUUUUAUUUAGAAUAAUGCCUACCUCUUUCUGCAUUCCUGGGUGCAAAAGCGAUUAUAAAGAUACCGAGAGAGUUGCCAUUUUUCGUUUUCCCAAUAACCCGGAUCAAAAGAAAAGAUGGUUAGAAUGCAUUGAAAGAGACGACGUAGUGAUAAAAGAAUCAUCAAGGAUCUGCAUAAAACAUUUUUCUGAAUGUUUCAUUAUUCGUGAGGAUAUAGUGGCUAGGAAGGAUGGAACAAUUUUAAAGGUUUCUCGAAAAAGAGUAAAGCUGUCAGAAGAUGCCUGCCCUAAAAUAUUUGAGAAUCAGCCAUUCACAACCCAUACCCCUACAAAAAAAAAUCACGGGUCUUACAAGAGUUAGAACUUGAGCCACAAAUGAUAAAUAAAGAAAAUAAGGAACAAAAAGAUUGUAUAAAUACAUUUGAAGAACUAACAGGUAGUAUUUUGCAUAUAGUUCAAAAAAAUGUUAGCAAUUAUUUUAAUUUUAAAAUAUCUACUGAUCAUAUCAAUAUUUUUUAUGUUACUGAAAGUGACUUAACCAGUUUGCCAGUUAUUCUUAAGGGGGUAGUGGGAGAUAGAGCUGUGCGAAUUUCUCAUUACUGUGCUACUGUUUAAGCUCAGAAAAAAUUAAAAUGGAUUUUUAAUUUUUUUUUUGGUUUUUUUUUAUUAUUUUUGGAAUCAUUCAAAUUUUCGAUUUUUUAAAUAAGCAACAAAAAUUUGGCGUAGGUACCUACCUAAUUUUGUUUUCGGCAUUAACAUUUUUACGAAAAAGUAAUAAACCAAUGCAAAAACUUACCCAUAGCAACCAAGAUAACCCACAAAAGUGUCAAGAAUAAGUUUUAAAAUUAUUUUUUUUUAUAUGGCAUAUUCUUUUAUAAGUAAAUAAUGUGCAACUUUGGGGUAAAUUAUCCAUUUUCGUAUUUUGAGGGUAGACGAAUUUGAAACACCGUUUAUGUAUAUUUUUCCAAUAAAAUAAAUAAUAAUAAAUAUUUAAAACAUUUAUCAUAUACCUAAAAAUACGUAAUAUUAAAAAAAAAUAUAUUAUCUUGUAAAAUGUAAAAUAUUAGGUCCCGCGGUAUCUCCACUUAGUCGUUCCACUGUACGGCGUGCGCCACCAAAUCUCGGCUUCAAUUUUGACGCCACGAAACCAGUGUCACGGCUAGAACUAUCGAUCGGCUACGAUUUAAUGCAGAAAAGCUGCCACAUUUUCUUGAUACUCAGGUCAGGAUUCAAACAUUCCUUUUUGCUCAUAUUUCUGGAGUAGUGGUUUUCUUGACGAGGAAAAGAAGAAAUAUGCUGUUUCAUCUGUUCUUUUGUUUCAUCAGGGAUCCUAGUAUGAUUUCCAUGCGCGCCUCUGCCAUCGGUCAAGGGCGUGGUGAACUUUAUUUUGUCAACGAGAAUCUGUAGGCGUCUAGGUGUAACCUUCAUUAUGUGGCAAAGUGUCUUUUGGCAUACGCGAACGGUAGCAUCUUUCUUUCGGACAUAAUAUUGAACUGAACAAUGUCUAGUAGAGAUGUUUUCAUUCACUCGACGGCGAUUUAUAUCCCCUAUAUUGAUGCAAGAAGCAAGAAACCUUGUUUGUUGUUUAUAGUCCAUACUGUAGAAGUCCCUAAAUAAUUUUAGCAUUUCUUUAUGGGCAACCAAUCCACUUGUAUUGACACUUGCAUAUUCUACCCUAAAACAGCAAAAUAACUAACCUGUAAAACUGUAACGCACAUCCAAAAUGUUGCACUGGCCGCUUUCUUUUGGAUAUGUAUGGAUUUCCAGAAUCCCUUGAACGCUUACGACACUUAUCUUUCCACUCACUAACUUUAAUUUUUCUCUUUUUACCAUUAUUUAAGCGCUUUUGAUCACCAGGCGAAAAAACAACACUCUCCGCGCCGGACAUUUUGUCGGUUGCAACGUUGUUCCGAGCGCGUCAACCUGUUUUCGAAGUCAUUUAACGUGCUGCCAUCUAAACCACAUUCAUAUAAAACUGAUACCAAAAACUGCCAUGCGGUAGAAAAUGUCGUUUACAACGUUAUUUUCUGAAAAUCUCAAUAUCGCAAUUAAUGUCGCUUACAACGUUGUUCGGCGGAGCCAUGCAUUUAUUGGGCAAUCUAUAGAAUAUACUCCACCUAGUCCUCUGUGGGGUUUGUAACUUGUCAAGGAUUAUGAUCAGGAUAUCUAGGUCGCUAUGCAAUAGGACCAACACGACCAAUCUAUUGUGGAUAAUUGAGGCUAUGAGUGCAAAAACGGACUAACCCCAAUAUUAUUAAAUGCUAAAAAAUUGGUUUAAACAAAUACGGAAAUGUAAGGGAGAGCACCCACCAAAGCAGCGAUAUGCUUGAAGUGAAGCGUACCUGAAACGCAAGUCAAGUGUAGAACAUGGGUGCGUCUUGUGAUCGCGUACCAAAAUGGUAUACAAAACGCAUGCAAAUUGAAGAUGUUUAAUGUUUUUAAGGAAGUAAACUUGUAUCCGGAUAAAUUCAGGUUAUUCUACAUGAUGAGUCGGGAGACUUUCAAACUUUUAGCUGAGAAAGUCCGUUCUUUUAUUCAAAAAAGAGAUACGAACUACAGGCAAAGCGUGUCUACAGAAGAACGUCUGCUUAUUACUUUGAGGUCAGUAUAAAUAUGUUUAAUAAUAUUUUAAAGCAUAAUAUAAUUUUUUUACCAGUAAUAACAGAAGUAGGCGGUUAUAUAAUUAAGUUUUAGCUAAAUUUAUAUAAUUUUGUCAGUUAAGUAAAAAAUUCUGCUGUCGAACUUUUCUUUAUUUGUCUGAUAAAUAACACUGGCUUGUUAGAAUUAUGAAAUUUCUAUUAUUUGCGUUAAAACAAGAUUCAGCUUAUUCUUCCUGCUGAGGGUUGUUCCAAAGUAGAUUAGUAUCUUAUUGGGAUGCUGGUUGAUGUACUGUAAACUGAGCAACACUACUAUAUUGAGCAUUGAGUUGGGAGCGAGGGAUAAGGUACUUCCAUCACACUUUUCCCAUAUCCGAAGCUAAUGAGAUUAUACCAAUCUUGAAUCUUCUCUUUUAUUCUGGAUUCAUUGUUUACAUGUCCGGAACCAUACUUGAUAAAAAUCAAACUUCAGGAUCUUUUGUUACACCUUGUUAAAAUGCAGGGGUUCCUUUGGACUCACUAGAAUAGAAUAGUCUCAAAACAUUUAAUUGUUUUGCUAUAGUUUGCCAAGCUUUCUCCUACACAUUCGAUGAUAAUAUCUUUGCUAGUAAUAUCGUAGAGUCAUGGGUGAGAUUCUAUUAACUGUGCGAAUUUAACAUUAAAUUCUUGAUCAUCACGCAUAUUUUUAAUAAAUGUAUAAACAAAAGUAUUCAAUCUUAAUUUUAUACAUAACCUAAAACAUAUUAGCACUUCGCACUACACGCAUAUUAGCACAACGCUGCACUUAACUGCACACAUCAUUCCUUUUCUCUUCAAGCCACAUCUUUGGUGGGCACUCUCCCUAAGUGCGCAAAACACUUUUAAAAGGACAUUUUUGUAGUUCGAAUAAAUUGAAUGUUCUUGAGUGUUACUUAAAUUUGCGGAAUUUGUUUUAAAUUUUUGGAUAUGGCUAGUAUUCGAUUUUUCUAUGUGGGUUAAUCCAUUCUGCAUUUAAAAUAGAUUGGGUUUUUUAAUGGGUUACUAUAACUUAAGCUAUAAUAAGAAUUACGCCAAAAACUUUAUUACUCGUAUUGUCACGGGAAUAAAUAAAAAAAAAUAGAAACUUAAUUUUUUUAUUAAGUAGCUAGUUAUUAAAUAGGUAAAGUUUCUUCUUCCUCAAUUGGGCCAAUUACUUCACCUCCAGUCGCUUGAGCGGAUGACCUCAGAUUUUUAUAAAAAUCUUGGUAUAUAGGAGGGAUUAAUUCCAUUAACUCAAGGGAGAUCUUUCUUUUUAGCUUCAUUAAUGCCAUUACCAUUUGGGUAUAAAAGGGUCAGUUCCUUAAUUUCCUUGGAAACAGAUUUCCUUUUAUUAAGAUCUACUAUAUUAAAAUGAACCUCUUCAUUAUUCGAGUACUUAUACUGAAUAGUAUUGGGAAAAUCUUUUCUAAACCUUAACCAUUGGAUUUUGAGCCACGCCACCUUUGUUUUUGUUUUAGAUACUUUUCUGUUUAUUAUGCUACUUUCAAGUUCCUUAGUAAAAAAAAAUUUUGACUUAUCCAUUUCUACUAUGGUAAAGGGAUUUUUUAUAGCAUCUUAUGACUGUAUGCCAGUCUUGAAGUAUAUGUGGAUGGAAUUUCUUUUUCUAUGAUUCCGAAAUCUUGGUCGCAUGGUAAAUAGGAAUGACCACUUACAAGGAAUUUAUAAUCUAUUUCUUCCACACUAAAUAAUGGAGAUGCAGUAAGAUAGUUACAUAUCAAUGACAUUUUUAUAUUACGAUUCUGACCACCACAUUGGUCAGAAUACAUAAGUCUUUUCGAUGUAACAAAGUUUUUUAUGGAAUAUAAAAUACAAGAUCCCACUUCUUGCGGCCCCUUGGAAGCAAUACUUUCAUCCCAUAUAAACAUGAACGAAUUAUUGGUUCCAAUUUCAUGUAUAUUAAAGCAGUAAGUUCAUAACUGCCUUUUUUAGUAACAAAUGCCUGUGGUAAGUACAGGUGUAGGAAGAGUCUUCAUUAGAUCAAAACAUAUGACUGCUGCGUUUCCACUUUUUGCGAGUUCAGUAUCUCUUCUUAGGGUGUCUCUAGCACGUUGGGCCUUCCUUUGGUGAAGUUCCUUCUCAACUUCUAGUUGUUGCUUCACUUCAUCGUCGGCUGCUUUGAUUCUAAUCCUUAAUAAAUCGAAUUUUUUUUGCAAGAGUCAGUCAUCAGCGGAUGAAAGUGUAGGUUGAAUUCUUUAUUAAAAGUUUUUCGAAAAACAAAAUAGGACAGAGGAUUCUCUACUUCAUCUUUGUAUAGCUGGUACAUUUUACCAAGGCCCAAAUCUGGAGAUAAAUAUUUUCUGUGGCAGCUUUUUUCCCUGCUGGAAUGAGAUUCAUAACAAGGAAAUUUUUCAAUAAAUUUCUUUAACUCAUCUUUUUUUGCCUCGGCUGUUUUGUUAUGUGGUGGAUGUUUGCCCCGCUUGUCACAUGGUGGUGGUGUUCCUACAGAUUUAACUUUUAGAAGUCUAUACAAUCUCCCAGCAGAAACUUGAAAGACUGCUUGAAAAAACGGUUUGCACACUUUGUGCUCUACAUCUUCCUUAAUGGGUAAAUAAUAAAGCCUGUUUUUUUCUCUCUUAGAUUCUGGAUUCUGGGUGUAGGUACGUAACUUACCUACAACUUUAAUCAAGGCAAACAAGUAGGCAGUUUGCAAGUCAACGGAUUCUAAGGCAUAGAAAUUCUUAUGCAGUUCCAUUUGUCGUUCUACUGGAAUCAAAACUGAGCAUCUACACUGUAAAAAAUCGAGUGUUAAUUUUAACACGCAAAAGUGGUCUAUAUAGGUCCACACUAGUGCGUGUUAAAAUAACCACUGGCAAAAAGUGGUUGUUUUUAUUUAAAAAAAAAAAACAUUUAUUUUACCCAAUUUAGCGUGUUAAUAAACGAACGAAAAUAAAAUUUAAAAAAACCCCUUCCGUAUUAUUAAAAGUAUAUUUUGAGUGUCAAAUGUAUUUAAAUAAAAGUAACAUUUAAUCACCCACUUUGGUUUAAAUUAAAUUUACACAGGUGCUUAAAAUAUUUAUUUCGGGUUAAAUAUAUUUUAAAAAAAUAAAAAAGUACACUUAAUUUAUGGUUAAUUGAGUUAUAAAAAAUGGUAAAUUUAACUUACCUAGGGUUAAAAUUAUUUUUAUUAGUGUAAUAAAGAAUCUAUUUAGGUGGUAAUUUAUACUUUAAAUAAAAUAUAUUUUCCUUUAUUUUGUGUAAUAAGUAUUGAAUUUAAGGGUUAAAAGUAUUUUUUUAGUGUAUUUUUUUAUAAUUGGAGUGUGUUAGCCGAAAAAGAACUAAGCACAAUUUUUAAUUUACAAAAAAAAUAUUUAAAGUAUUUAUUUGUUUAAAUAAAAGCUUAAAACUAUUUCUAAAUAAUCUUUGGUACAUAUAUUAAAGAUUAUUAAGGAAGAGUUUUAAACUAUUCAUUUGAACAAAUACUAAUUAACAAGUUAAAAAGUAAUUAUUUGGCGCCUGGUUCCUUUUCGAAUUUAUCACCCCAAUUAUUACAUAUUGCAACUAUUUCGGUUAGUCUGUAUAUAUUUGAUAAAAAUGAAAAAAAAAACUAAAAAAAAAACGCAAAACUUCGUAUUCCAAACGAUUAAAUCAAAAAAGUUGUUCUAAGAAAGGAGAGCAAUUUCUUUUUAGGACAAAUACAAAUAAAAGGCAUAGCAAUCAAUUUCUUAGACAUUAUCUAUUAAAGAAUAAUAUAACAAACAUAAAAAAUAUAUAUUCUGGAACAAAAAUAUAUAGGAACCCAUAUUUUGAAAUAUAAAACCUUAAAAAAAAAUAAUUGGAGAUCAAAUUUAACCUUAUAACAAGAGUAGAUCUUAUACAGAUGAAAAAAACACUUAUGGCUUAUACAUAAAUCUCUGUCGCUUAAUUCCAUAAGCUGCAAAAAAUUUUAUUUUUAAGCUAAAAUAAAAAUAUAAAAAUAUUUUAGCACGGCGCUAAGUAUUUUAAUAGUGUUAAUAUAACACGCAAAAAAAUAAAAAUAAAAUUAAUUCAAUUUAACCACUUUAAAGUCUUGUUUAAGUGUUAAAAAAUACUACAUAGUAUACUUCAUAGUGUUAAAUUUAACACUCAAGAAAUUUACCACGCUGUUUAUUCUUUUUACCACCCUAUUAUUUUUUACAGUGUAGCUUUACACGCGCAUUCAAAAGGUUUCAAAGGUUUUGAUGGAACAGUUUUGCCAGAUUUGGUUAUGUACUCUCGUCCAGCACAUCUUCUCUUUUUAUUUAAGUUUAUUUUCCAUUUUUCAGGACUACGUACACGCUUCUUUGGUUUAGAAGUAUGGGGUAACACCCCUGCUGGCGCUGGUUCGGCUUCAUUAAAAUUCGUUUCUGUACCACCUUUGUCUUCUUCCCUAUGCCUAUUAGAUGCCUCUAAAUCUUUAUCCGAGGGCAAGUACUCCGACCCAGAAUCCGCAAAAGGGUCUCAUUCAAUGGUUGAGACGUCUGCAAAAAAAGAAAAUAAAAAAAUUCUUCUUUUUAAGAAUAACAACUUGAAUUUGAAAUUUUUGAGCAAAAGUGGACUAAGCCUAUCUAUUUAAUUAGUUUGAAACAGCAACGGUAAAUUAAGUUUUUGUUAUUGAUGUCUAAUGAUGUAUUGUAAAAAUAAAUAAAUUACAAUACAAUAUGAAGAAGUUCAUAGAGAUUAAAAAUUUCCUUUGAAAUCCAUCAUCCCUCUAGUCUUCACUACUCAUCAAAAUCGGAAAAAUAUACUGAAACACGUUGUCUUUAUUUUCUAACCUUAAACUAAAGUAUCAAAGCAACAAAAAUUGACAUUACAAACCUGAAAAAGGCAUGAAAGCUUCAAGUUUUAGAAUAGUCACAAAUAUUGUCCGGCAACCUUGCAAGAAUUACAGGGUUAUCAAAAUUAAAUUAAUCGAUAUAAGACUGCGAUCGAUAUUCGACUACUUUUCCCUACUUCAUUAUAUGCCUUUCAAAUAUUGAUUUUUGUUUUUCCAGCAUCCCACAUUUAUGUAAUUUUUUUAAAACCGCCCCCUAGACCUUUUUAAAUUUAUUCACGUGCCUAAGGGCAUGUAUUUAUGGGAGGUAAAUAUUUUCAUGUAUAGCUGCACUUAUAUUGUUUUCUUUAUUGUUUUUUAACGCGCACUGUUAGUUUACUGCAUCAGAAUAUUUUGUUAUAAAUUUAAUAAUGAGAUUAGCAUAUUAUUUUUUGUUUUAACUCUAUUGUAAACCGCAUAUUUUAAUUUUAUUAAUAAAAUAUUAAUUAUUUAA
This 13094-nucleotide unclassified non-coding RNA is filed under the name Anthonomus grandis grandis. RNAcentral describes it as "ralBP1-associated Eps domain-containing protein 1". The record is from RNAcentral. Lineage: Eukaryota; Metazoa; Arthropoda; Insecta; Coleoptera; Curculionidae.